UUUAGGAUCAUCUGGGUUAAUGUACGUGUGUGUCAGGACAGAGUUUAAUACUAUCUCUGUGGAACAGCGAACAACGUUAGGUCAAACAAGCCGGUUUCAUUUAAUACUAAGCAUGUUUAAGAAGAAAUGUCACAGUUCAGUUCCGCUGGCUCAUGAAGUAAAUCAGGAAUCAGUGAAGCCAGACACCUACCCUGCUCUUAUACUAAUUUUGCACUAGGAUUACUCCGCUGAAAUAAAUCAGUUCUUUACCAGGAAUCCACCCUACUGACAUAUGAGCAGUUCAUAAACUUUAUGCAAACAAGGAAAUCAUGCUAUGCAGGUCUAGUGGCAAGGUCAUUGUGCUCCUCUCAUCUUGCCUUGGUUCAAAGAUGCUUUUGGGAAGAGAUCCUGUCUGUGCAGCAGGAGGAGUGUUUGCCCUGUGUCUUCCUUCUGCUUGGUUUCCUCCAGCCCUCCUGAAGGCACCCUUUCCAGGAUGGUGUUCUUAGAACAGUCACUGCUGACAAAACAAACCCAAAGCCAGCUCUGCUCUGUGCAGCACCAGCUAUACAGGUGAGUGAUACCAAGAAGCCUGGGAAGCUAUUUACAAGGAAGGGACAAGAAGUGUGUCGUACAUGCAGUAGAGUGGCAUUUGUCAGGCUCGGUGUAGCCAGCUGUAGUCUGAAGGAUUGCAGCAGAGAGUCUCCCUAUGCUACCUCCCUUUGUGCUCAGCAGCUGGAGGAGCCCAGCACUGAUGUUUGGGUUGAAAUUCUUGACAGCAAAGUUUUGUGGCAGUGCUGUUUGUGACAAGUUCCUGUCAAGACUGAUUUAUACGGCAAAAUCAAACAAGCAACAUUAAAAAUAAACCCUGAUGUGCCUUGCUAAUUUCUUCUAUGUAAAAAAUGAUGUAUUACAGCCUGAAAUCUGCUGUGGCUCUCAACAAAGCCACAUUAUUAUGGUGCUCUCUUGUCAAUAGAUUUAUGAAGUUUUGUGGAUUUGGAAAUAACUAUAUCCAAGCUAUAUAUAUGAAAAAAAAAAAAAAAAAAUAAAGCUUCUCUUUAAGUGGAUAAAGAUUGGAGAACUGUCAGAAGGUUACAAAGCUUAAUGAAAGAUAGGUCAAAUUUCAGAAGCUUAUGACUACAAAUUUAAUGUGAGCAUCGUUUGUUGGGAAAUAUUAGGUAUUUUCUCCUUCUAGCUCUAGCUUGGCAUGUUGAAAAAAACAUCAUGUACCAUCUUAACAAGGAUAACAAAGGAAAUCAUUUUUAACACUGAAAUUGUUUCAAACUAAAGUUUCCUUUAAAUUUUCUAAAGUUCAUAGUGUUUGAAUCUCUUUCUACAUUUUCAAAGAUAGCUCAGGAAAGAAAUGAACUAUUUAUCUGGAGGUGAAAAUAAUUGUGCUGCAUUUUCAACCACUGCAGUUGUAUACAUUAUGCUGUUUAUUUAUAUCAAGUCAGCCAUGUAACUCUCAGGUACAGUAUCCAGAUGCUCCCAUCUGCAUUUCUAGACUUCUGCUCUAGUUCUUGUGUCACCUGCUGAAAGAAAACAAUCUGACUGUCUGCAGAUUGAACAGCCACUUCUUUGAAGCAGUUACCAGUGCAGCCUCUGACUCCAGGUCUCUGCCAGCAUGCGUUCAACCAGCCUGCAGACAUCAGUAGCUGGCUUUCCCCCACUCCGAGGCUUCACGUUAAAUUGCUGUUGAGACUCCAUGACAUAAAUUAAGAACAGAAAAACCAGUUUUAAGCUUAUGGCUCUGAAGAAAUCACCAAAUGAGUUCUAUUUUGGCAGCCUGCUGCUCACAACUCAGAAAAUACGACAGCAAAGCAAAUCACAUGUCCAGUGUGUGUUUUAUAACCCUGCUCAGACUAAGCCAUCUUGUAGGCACAUGCAUGACUAUUUUUAGUGGCUGUGCUCCCGCAUAUAUGGCAAAGUCCUUUAGCAUUGGCUACUCACUAGGGGCUACUUGAAAAGUAGCAAGAGAUGUCAGUUGCUGGAAUUUUGACUGAAAAUAAUAAUACCUGGAUUUCAAAUUUGCUGCACAGAUUUGCCAAAGUGCAAAUGAAGUCAGCUCUGGCAAUGUGAUGAUUCACUGAUUGCUGCCUUCAGCCAUGAAAACUCAGGAUCUGACUGUGUUUUAUUUUCAUCACCAUUACAGCAUUAUUUUAAAGGUACACCGUUGCUUGUGGGAACGUUGGUUUUCUAGGGUGUGCAUCUGGGAAUCAAACAUUUCUUCCCCAGCUCCAAGCAGGCACUGGGGCAAAUCCAGAGGACCUAUAACUGACACAUCCCAUUAGUCAUAGAAACAUCCCACUAAAAUUAGCGGCAGCUUUUCAUCUUUAUGGGCCUCAUGCCUCGGUCCAUAUGUAGAACAUACAAAAUGGAUUUUUCUUUUCUUGGCAUGUAACCCCGUCUUUCCCGUACUUUGGUUCCAGACCUUCAUGAGCAACGCAGGUGGCUUUUGUUGCUCCACAGCUCAUAUUCUUGACAGU
Molecule: long non-coding RNA, 2462 nt
Organism: Cygnus olor (mute swan)
Lineage: Eukaryota; Metazoa; Chordata; Aves; Anseriformes; Anatidae
Exons: 3
Source: RefSeq, a predicted model, not a curated record